RNAcentral lists this ribosomal RNA (537 nucleotides) under uncultured Mycobacterium sp. Its description in RNAcentral is "bacterial SSU rRNA". It matches the Rfam family "Bacterial small subunit ribosomal RNA", at positions 54 to 606 of the family's 1533-position model. Lineage: Bacteria; Bacillati; Actinomycetota; Actinomycetes; Mycobacteriales; Mycobacteriaceae. The record is from RNAcentral.
CAUGCAAGUCGAACGGAAAGGCCUCUUUGGGGGUGCUCGAGUGGCGAACGGGUGAGUAACACGUGGGUGAUCUGCCCUGCACUUUGGGAUAAGCCUGGGAAACUGGGUCUAAUACCGGAUAGGACUACGAAUCGCAUGGUUUGUGGUGGAAAGCUUUUGCGGUGUGGGAUGGGCCCGCGGCCUAUCAGCUUGUUGGUGGGGUGAUGGCCUACCAAGGCGACGACGGGUAGCCGGCCUGAGAGGGUGUCCGGCCACACUGGGACUGAGAUACGGCCCAGACUCCUACGGGAGGCAGCAGUGGGGAAUAUUGCACAAUGGGCGCAAGCCUGAUGCAGCGACGCCGCGUGAGGGAUGACGGCCUUCGGGUUGUAAACCUCUUUCAACGCCGACGAAGCGGAAGUGACGGUAGGCGGAGAAGAAGCACCGGCCAACUACGUGCCAGCAGCCGCGGUAAUACGUAGGGUGCGAGCGUUGUCCGGAAUUACUGGGCGUAAAGAGCUCGUAGGUGGUUUGUCGCGUUGUUCGUGAAAACUCACA